Non-coding RNA from Ictidomys tridecemlineatus (thirteen-lined ground squirrel), 3293 nucleotides. NCBI's taxonomy places the organism in Eukaryota, Metazoa, Chordata, Mammalia, Rodentia, Sciuridae. The record is from RefSeq and is a predicted model, not a curated record.
UAUCUAAACCAUUGCAGGUACCAUCACUGGACACCUAUUCCUACCCGAUCCUUGAGCCCAGCCCACAUCAAAAAGGUCUCAGCAGAAUGUCCAUUUUCAUGCCAAGAGAGGUAAAACUGAGACCAACAGGGGGUGAGUGUCAACUAAACCCAGUUGAGUCAGAGGUUUAGCUGUUCUCAGAGGCCUGGGCCUGUAGGCGUGGAAGCAGGAGUGGCUGACAAGUGCAGGGCAGGACAGGAAACCCCACCCCAAAUCAAAGCAGAUCGAAUGGUUGAGAGGGAGGUGCAGACUCCAGAAGUUCACAUCAAAUCUUUGACCCCAAAUUGUCACUGCAGAGAGUUUUUAAACAGGGCAUUUCUCCAUAAGAACGAAAAGAGAAUUAAUUCUUCAUUUCUAUGUGCUUGACACAUUGACAUACAUGUUGUUUCAUGCAACCACCAAUAAAAAAAAAAUGAUAUGAAAUAGCCCUGGGUAAUGUAGUUCUGACCUCAUCACAUCCAUUCUUCUCUGCCCUGUCCCUCUCUCAUUCUGUUCCAGCACACUGGCCUCCAUCCUAUGCUUAAACAUUCCCAUUUCGCUCUUGCACUUGCUGUCUCUUCUGUCUAUAAUAUUUUUAGUCAUAUGGCUUGCUCCCUUUCCCCUUUACAUUUAUAAUAAUUUGUUCCAUCUUCUCAGACAGGCCUACUCUAAGAUCCCUGUUGGAAACUGCAACUUCCUACCAUAGCGUUCUGUAUCUCCUGUCUUUCAUUUUCAUGCCAUGGGCAUUUUGUGUAUAUGACAUAUCUCCACUAUUAUGUUUUUUUAUUAUUUGUCACUCUUCACUAAACCUGGGCCCCUUUGAAGCAGAUCAGGGUUGCUGUGAAACUUAGAACAAUAUUUGCCAUACAUCAAACCAUAAGUGUUUACUGAAUGAGAGUGUCAUCAUGUGAUUAAAGAGAGAACUGAGGCUUAGAGAGGUGAAACCUUGUGGCCUAUGGCCAUCCAGCCAGAGAGUGCUGAGUUCAGAUCAAGUCCCACCUGCCCAACUUCAGGACGGUAACAGCCUUUUCCCAAACCCUCAUGUCCACAGCGGUACCAUGGGGGUGGAAAGCACGGGGCCACGUCAGGCUGAAGUUCCAUGAGCAAGAGCAGCUGAGAAGUUCCCAUAAGACAAAUCAGAGAUCAGUGCUGUGCUGAGAGGGAAAGCUGAGGCAGCUUAGGGGAUAGUUUUCAAGUCCAAAUGACCUCAUAUGAGGUGAAUGGUUAUUUUCAUCUUGGCAUGAACUGCAUAUUAUUAUCUGCCUCAUUGUAUAGGUGAUGGGUUAAAUGCUGGAGGUAUUUUGAGUCACUUCUUCUUGGUUGCACAUACUGGGCCCUGAGACCCUUAACCCAUAACUCUUUCUUUGUUCCUGUCUUUUCAUGGUACCUGGAUCCCUCUGGCCACUUGGGAAAGCCUGUGUCAGGCUGCUUUCCACCUGGCAAGGACCAUGACACAACAGGGCCUAUGCUGCCAACUUGGCUGUGGGCUCUGAACACACUGCCAGCCUCUGCCAGCCCCAAGGUCUGCCAGCCAAUCAACUCAUUGUCUUCAGAUUGGAGGAGGUGGGGAGAAUUCCCAUAGCAGAAUUUAUGUGCUAGCUAAUUGGCAUGCAUAUGGGAAAGAUAUUAGAUUUCUUUAAAAAUAUGUUAUAGCUUAGGCAAGCAUUACAAUCUAUUUACUAUUCAUUUAUUUAAUAAAUAUUCUUUCUGAACUCCUUCUGCAUCAUAGACUGUGCAAGCUAUCAGGGGACAAUAGAAAAUGAAGCAGAGAUAGCUCAGUCCCUGGGGGCUUUUCUUCUAGUCAGGUGAACUGUGUUCUGGGUGGACAGAAAUAGUGUAGAAUGCUAGUUUUACAAUCAGAGUGAGGGCAUCUCGGGAAGCAUACCGAAGGAGGACCAGUGGCUACACUCACUCAGGGUACAAGAGACCAUGUCCUGGGCCACACAUGAACUGUUGCCAGAGUCUUUUGGAAGCUCUGCUUGCAAGGCCUUUUUAUAUCUCUGCAAAUUCCAGAUGUGAAGAAUAGUGGGACAAGUUACUUUGUGACUUUCCUUUUCUGAUUUCCUCAGUUCCCUCAAGGACAGGGUUGAACUUAGUGCUCAGUAAGAUCUUUGUUUCCUUAUUUUCUUUCCCUCCCUCCAUCUGGUUUGGCUGCCUUCAUAUUCCCCCCUUCCUUCCUCGCUAGGAAUUGCACCCAGGGGGGUACUUCAACACAGAGCUACAUCCCCAGCCACUUUAUUUUUGGAGUCAGGGUCUCACUGAUUUGCUUAGGGACUUACCAAGUUUCCAAGUCUGGCUUCAAGCUUGCAAUCCUCCUACUCCAGAUUCCCAAGUGACUGGGAUUACGGGUGUGUACCCCUGUGCCCAGCUGGGUGCACGUGAUUCUCUAUCCCUCUGGAGGUCAUUGUUUUCCAUAUGCCCUCCUCCCCUCCAGGGGAGCCUUGCACAGCAGAUCCCUGGGAUUCUGAGUUCACCCAGAUGAGGACAUUCUACUCCUCUUCUUCACUCCCUAACUCCUGGGGUGCCACCUGGGAUUCCUUGAUCUCACCUGUCAGAGUUCCUUGAACUCAACUCCCAGGAUUUUGUCAGGUGGAUCACUGUUGUCCUGUCAACUCUCAUCAAAAUUCUCCUUCAAUCCAGAAAGAUCGAGAUGACUGCUUUGAAGAACCAAAAGCAAGGUACCUGGGAGUGAACAACAGGGAGACUUGAUCUAGUGAGAGCUGUCACAGGGUGGAGAGGGAUGUUUUGUCAGGGGUACUUCCCUGAUGAUAUAAUAUUUUCAGUUAGAACUGGGAGCCAAUUAAAAUUGGCCUGAGAAAGAGAUGAGGAGAACAUUCCAGAAAGAGGAAUUAGCAUAUGCAGAGGCCUCAUGCAAAAGGGUCUGUACCAUCAAUGGAAGGGACCAAAGCUAAAGUGGCUGAAGCUUGGUGAAUGAGGGGCAGAGUAGCAGGAGACAGAGCUAAGGAAAGCUGGAGAGCUAACUGUGGGAAGACUUAAGUGGCACUCUGACCCUUGACUUGAACCUUGUCCCUUCCUGGUACUGCUACCAAUGUUCUCCGGGGAAAUGAGACUCAGUUGUGGGAGGAGAAGAGGAUGGUGUGAGGAGGUCCUCCAGCACCCCCUCAGAAAGAGCAGAUGGUGCUGUAGUUUGGAGUGAUUGCCUUGAAAUAGUUGAUUCAAAAUAGCUAUCUGCCAAAUUUUUCUUUUAUUUUAAAUUCUAAGUAAUGUGUUUAGAAGGUCUUUCUGGCCCUUAUCACAUUCUUUAAUCUCACUUG